UUUAAAUGUAAAAUAAAUUAUUAAAGUAGUAUUAGUUAUGUUCUUGAAAUUUAAAAAUUUUGGCGGUAUUUUAGUCUAUUUAGAGGAACCUGUUCUAUAAUUGAUAUUCCACGAUUAACUUUACUUAUUUUAUAAAUUUGUAUAUCGUUGUUAUUAGAAGAUUUUAAUAGAAAAUAAAUUUUUAAUAUUUUAUAUUAUAAAAUAUAUCAAAUCAAGGUGCAGUAUAUAUUUAAGAAGAAAUGGGUUACAAUAAAGAUAUUUAAACGGAUUAAAUUUUUAAUAAAAUUUAUAAAGGUGGAUUUAAUAGUAAUAAAAUUAAAUUAAAUUUUAUGAUUUUAGCUCUAAAAUAUGU
Molecule: ribosomal RNA, 352 nt
Filed under: Pterostichus niger
Lineage: Eukaryota; Metazoa; Arthropoda; Insecta; Coleoptera; Carabidae
Description: partial 12S ribosomal RNA
Source: RNAcentral